RNAcentral lists this ribosomal RNA (259 nucleotides) under uncultured soil bacterium. Its description in RNAcentral is "partial 16S ribosomal RNA". It matches the Rfam family "Bacterial small subunit ribosomal RNA", at positions 26 to 284 of the family's 1533-position model. The record is from RNAcentral.
AGGACAAACGCUGGCGGCGUGCAUAAAACAUGCAAGUCGGACGAGCCAAUCUCCGCAAGGGGAAAGGCUAGUGGCGAACGGCUGAGUAACACGUAGGUGAUCUGCCCUGAAGUGGGGGAUAACGACGUCGAAAGAGUCGCUAAUACCGCAUGUGACCAUCGAUCCGUUUUCGAUGCUCAAAGUCGUAAGACGCUUUAGGAGGAGCCUGCGGCGGAUUAGCUAGUUGGUGAGGUAAUGGCCCACCAAGGCUUCGAUCCGU